CCUACGGGAGGCAGCAGUAGGGAAUCUUUCACAAUGGGCGAAAGCCUGAAGGAGCAACGCCGCGUGCAGGAUGAAGGCCUUCGGGUUGUAAACUGCUUUUAUAAGCGAGAAAUAUGAUGGUAACUUAUGAAUAAGGAUCGGCUAACUACGUGCCAGCAGCCGCGGUCAUACGUAGGAUCCGAGCAUUAUCCGGAGUGACUGGGGGUAAAGAGUUGCGUAGGUGGCAUAAUAAGUAGCUAGUGAAAACUGGUGGCUCAACCAUUCAGACUGUUAGCUAAACUGUUCAGCUCGAGACCGUUAGGAGUAAGUGGAAUGUGUAGUGUAGGAGUGAAAUGCGUAGAUAUUAGAAGGAACACCGAUAGCGUAGGCAGGGUACUGGGACGGUUCUGACACUAAGGCACGAAAGCGUAGGGAGCAAACGGGAUUAGAUACCCUUGUAGUC
This 442-nucleotide ribosomal RNA is filed under the name uncultured bacterium. Its description in RNAcentral is "partial 16S ribosomal RNA". It matches the Rfam family "Bacterial small subunit ribosomal RNA", at positions 338 to 795 of the family's 1533-position model. The record is from RNAcentral.